UGCCAGGUACCUCACGUCCAUGACGAAUAC
This 30-nucleotide non-coding RNA is filed under the name Rattus norvegicus (Norway rat). Lineage: Eukaryota; Metazoa; Chordata; Mammalia; Rodentia; Muridae. The record is from RNAcentral.